CCUACGGAGAGCUGCAGUGGGGAAUAUUGCGCAAUGGGCGAAAGCCUGACGCAGCGACGCCGCGUGAGGGAUGAAGGUCUUCGGAUCGUAAACCUCUGUCAGCAGGGAAGAACGGUCACUGUGCUACUCAGCAGUGAAUUGCCGGUACCUGCAAAGGAAGCACCGGCUAACUCCGUGCAAGCAGCCGCGGUAAUACGGAGGGUGCGAGCGUUAAUCGGAAUUACUGGGCGUAAAGCGCUCGUAGGCGGUAUGUCAAGUCAAGGGUGAAAUCCCCGCGCUCAACGUGGGACCUGCCUUUGAAACUUGCAAGCUGGAGUGUGUGAGAGGAUAGGGGAAUUCCAUGUGUAGGAGUGAAAUCCGGAGAUAUCUGGAGGAACAUCAGUGGCGAAGGCGACUAACUGGCACAUAACUGACGCUGAGGAGCGAAAGCGUGGGUAGCAAACAGGAUUAGAUACCCCUGGUAGUC
RNAcentral lists this ribosomal RNA (466 nucleotides) under uncultured bacterium. RNAcentral's name for it is "partial 16S ribosomal RNA". It matches the Rfam family "Bacterial small subunit ribosomal RNA", at positions 338 to 795 of the family's 1533-position model. The record is from RNAcentral.